This 504-nucleotide long non-coding RNA is filed under the name Capsicum annuum. RNAcentral describes it as "long non-coding RNA (CANN_LNC000341)". Lineage: Eukaryota; Viridiplantae; Streptophyta; Magnoliopsida; Solanales; Solanaceae. The record is from RNAcentral.
UAUGAUCUAUAAAUUUUGAUGAAAUACCAUCUUUUAGUCUUGGUUUAACCCAAGAUGAAAAUAUUAACUUUGUUUCUUCUAAUAUUCAGUCAAAAGGAGGUGUUAUCUUACAAGAGUUGAGAUUGAAGCAGCAAUACGAUCCUCAAAAGUCCAUUGAAAUAAUGAAACGGAAAGUAGUGAGGGAAUCUUUAUCCCCCAAAUCAACAAAAAAAUCAAAAAUCAAUGAAAAAGAGGAAGCUAGAUGAAAAAUCUCAAUCGAAAAAAAUGCAAGUCCGGUUUCAUCUGAUUAUGAAUCUUCAUCUGAAGAAGAAAAAGUUGAGGAGGUAUUGUUGCAUUUGUAAAAUUUUGUAGCAUAGGACAGUUUGUUAAUAUAUGUAUUCUUUAUAUACACUUGAUAAGUUGUGUACUUAUUUUGACUUUCUGUCAAGAUAUGAAAUUUGUACUUUAUUAUGUGAAGAUAUAUAUAAGUUAUGUUAUAGAUAUGUAAUUGGAAAAUUUUCAGGG